RNAcentral lists this ribosomal RNA (460 nucleotides) under uncultured bacterium. RNAcentral's name for it is "partial 16S ribosomal RNA". It matches the Rfam family "Bacterial small subunit ribosomal RNA", at positions 338 to 795 of the family's 1533-position model. The record is from RNAcentral.
CCUACGGGAGGCUGCAGUGAGGAAUAUUGGUCAAUGGGCUUACGCCUGAACCAGCCAAGUCGCGUGAGGGAAGACUGCCCUAUGGGUUGUAAACCUCUUUUGUCAGGGAGCAACGCCGGCUACGUGUAGCCGGACUGAGAGUACCUGAAGAAAAAGCAUCGGCUAACUCCGUGCCAGCAGCCGCGGUAAUACGGAGGAUGCGAGCGUUAUCCGGAUUUAUUGGGUUUAAAGGGUGCGUAGGCGGAAUGCCAAGUCAGCGGUAAAAUCGCGGGGCUCAACCUCGCUCCGCCGUUGAAACUGGCGUUGUUGAGUGGGCGAGAAGUAUGCGGAAUGCGUGGUGUAGCGGUGAAAUGCAUAGAUAUCACGAAGAACUCCGAUUGCGAAGGCAGUUCACGGGACUGCAACUGACACUGAGGCUCGAAAGUGUGGGUAUCAAACAGGAUUAGAUACCCUUGUAGUC